This 228-nucleotide small nucleolar RNA is filed under the name Ustilaginoidea virens. Its description in RNAcentral is "Small nucleolar RNA snR191". It matches the Rfam family "Small nucleolar RNA snR191". The record is from Rfam by way of RNAcentral. Lineage: Eukaryota; Fungi; Ascomycota; Sordariomycetes; Hypocreales; Clavicipitaceae.
UUCCAAUGUCUAUUGUCAGGACUCCCCCUCUUCCCUACGGGGGUUUGUCUGUUACAGCGUUGGGAGAUUGAGCUCGCUACUUUCGACUGUCGCCUUCAUCUCGUUGGCAACUGAUGGGUGCCGUUCUGGCCACUAUCAUGAAGUAGCAAGUGCAUCAGAUGAGUUGAAGCCUUCAUGGGCCUCACUUGCUCUGCAACUGAAGACUUCUUAGUGAUGAUGCAUACAUGC